UGUGCCACAGAUCUCAGCGGAGCUGCAGAACGAGCUUCUGCUGAGUUUGCUGGACACAGACAGUGAUGUGGUGCAUUAUCUGCUGAGGAGGAAAACACCACAGUGUGAAGACGUGAAGAGCUCCAGUGGAGAAAUCUCUCCGUACGAUAACAACUCUCCGGUGCUCUCCGAGUGGUUUCAUCCAUCAGGACCGGAGCAUCAGAGUCCCACAAACCUCCAGCAUGCUCUCAAGAGGAACAACACUGUGAACUUCUGCCUCUCACCCUCACAAGCCGGCGCCGGGGAAACCAUACAUGAUAAAGCUCGUAUCUGGCAAACACGACACGCUCUUCUGUCAGGACUUCAUGACAAACUCCUCACAGGUUCGGAUGGACACCUGUAUAAACGCGCCUCCUCUGAUGUUUUCUACGAUGACGAUAACGACAUGAAACCUGUGCAUGAGAUGCAAACGUCCUAUACGAACGUCGCCGCUGAAUGUAGAGCGCGCCUGCAGGUCACAAGUGCAGACGGCAGUCCUCUGAGCUCCCCGCGCCAUCAAAUGCAUCCUAUUGCAUCGAGCCGAACUGCAUUUCACCAAUCAGAGGAAGCGAUGGCAUCUCCUGCCAAACCAGACGACAUACUUCCUGCCGUGUCCAUGCAGCCGCGUGUCACUUCCUGUCAGGGUGCGGCGUCACACGUGCCAUCGAAGAGCUUCGGAGCAGAGCAGCAUCCAGACUGGCCCACAGAGAAGUGGCAAAUAUGGCAACUCCUGUCAUCAGACAGCAUAGACACACUUCCGGAGACUAUGGUGUGAAACAUGCAGCUUAAAGGGACAGUUCACCCAAAAAUGAACUUACUGUCAUCAAAAGAAGAUAUUUGAAGGACCCCAUUGGCUUUCAUUGAAUAAGGCAUUUCUCAAGAUAUUUUCUUUUAUGUUCCACAGAAGAAGAAAAAGGCAUACGGGUUUGGAAUGAGUGAAGGAUGACAGAAUUAUCAUUUUUGGGUGAACUGCCCCUUUAAGAACCUUUUAAUUUGAAAGUCAAUUUGAAUUGAAUUGGAUGCAACACACAGAAUGUUGAAUUAGAAUUUGAAUUGGAAUGAGAGGAAGCACCACAAAAUGUUAGCGCAUUGUUUACAGAUAAUUUUAUAAAAAUCAUUAUUGAUAUAAAAAUUGUGGAUGAAUAUUUUAAUGUUUUACAUUUAAGUUUGGGGUCAUUAUGAUUUUUUUUUUUUUUUUUUUUUUUUUUUACAAAAAUUUAUAAUUUUAUUUAUCUAAUUAUUUUAUUUUAUUCAAAAUAAAUUGAUAAAUACAUCAAUU
Molecule: long non-coding RNA, 1297 nt
Filed under: Sinocyclocheilus anshuiensis
Lineage: Eukaryota; Metazoa; Chordata; Actinopteri; Cypriniformes; Cyprinidae
Description: lncRNA (ENSSANG00000050415.1)
Source: RNAcentral